Molecule: small nucleolar RNA, 79 nt
Filed under: Tursiops truncatus (common bottlenose dolphin)
Lineage: Eukaryota; Metazoa; Chordata; Mammalia; Artiodactyla; Delphinidae
Description: Small nucleolar RNA SNORD112 (ENSTTRG00000025292.1)
Source: RNAcentral
UGUAUGGACAAUAAAACAAUGUGUCAGAACCAAGGAUCAAGAUUAAUUCAUUUUGUUCACCUGAGAUCUGAAAUGCAAA